UAGCUCAAUGAUAGGGCAUUUGCCUAGCAAGCAUGAAGACUUGGGUUCAAUUCCCAG
Molecule: transfer RNA, 57 nt
Filed under: Cavia porcellus (domestic guinea pig)
Lineage: Eukaryota; Metazoa; Chordata; Mammalia; Rodentia; Caviidae
Rfam family: tRNA
About the family: Transfer RNA (tRNA) molecules are approximately 80 nucleotides in length. Their secondary structure includes four short double-helical elements and three loops (D, anti-codon, and T loops). Further hydrogen bonds mediate the characteristic L-shaped molecular structure. tRNAs have two regions of fundamental functional importance: the anti-codon, which is responsible for specific mRNA codon recognition, and the 3' end, to which the tRNAs corresponding amino acid is attached (by aminoacyl-tRNA synthetases). tRNAs cope with the degeneracy of the genetic code in two manners: having more than one tRNA (with a specific anti-codon) for a particular amino acid; and 'wobble' base-pairing, i.e. permitting non-standard base-pairing at the 3rd anti-codon position.
Source: Rfam by way of RNAcentral